This 253-nucleotide ribosomal RNA is filed under the name uncultured bacterium. RNAcentral describes it as "partial 16S ribosomal RNA". It matches the Rfam family "Bacterial small subunit ribosomal RNA", at positions 524 to 776 of the family's 1533-position model. The record is from RNAcentral.
UACGUAGGUGGCGAGCGUUGUCCGGAUUUACUGGGCGUAAAGGGCGCGUAGGCGGUCUUGUAAGUUCCGUGUGAAAUCCCUCGGCUCAACUGAGGAACCGCACGGAAAACUGCUUGGCUUGAGUUCGGGAGAGGGAAGCGGAAUUCCGGGUGUAGCGGUGAAAUGCGUAGAUAUCCGGAGGAACACCGGUGGCGAAGGCGGCUUCCUGGACCGACACUGACGCUGAGGCGCGAAAGCUAGGGGAGCAAACGGG